CUUGUUACCUGGCAGGGUAAACACCAUUAUCAUGUAGGUGGUUUUCCCAGGGCAAGGCUCAUCCAUUGCACUUGGGAUGUGUUGAUCCCUGCAAUUUCGCCAAAGGGGGGAAGCGGGCCUGCAAAGGUC
This 129-nucleotide small nuclear RNA is filed under the name Sorex araneus (European shrew). RNAcentral describes it as "U1 spliceosomal RNA (ENSSARG00000016787.1)". It matches the Rfam family "U1 spliceosomal RNA". Rfam says of the family: U1 is a small nuclear RNA (snRNA) component of the spliceosome (involved in pre-mRNA splicing). Its 5' end forms complementary base pairs with the 5' splice junction, thus defining the 5' donor site of an intron. There are significant differences in sequence and secondary structure between metazoan and yeast U1 snRNAs, the latter being much longer (568 nucleotides as compared to 164 nucleotides in human). The record is from RNAcentral. Lineage: Eukaryota; Metazoa; Chordata; Mammalia; Eulipotyphla; Soricidae.